RNAcentral lists this long non-coding RNA (1009 nucleotides) under Piliocolobus tephrosceles (Ugandan red Colobus). Its description in RNAcentral is "lncRNA (ENSPTEG00000017694.1)". The record is from RNAcentral. Lineage: Eukaryota; Metazoa; Chordata; Mammalia; Primates; Cercopithecidae.
AAAAAAAAAAAUAAAAAAAAUAUGGAAAACAAUAAAGACAUUUCAAAAGACAAUAAAAAAAUAAAAAAAAUAAAAAAAGAAAAACGGGAUAUAAAUAAAACAGAUGAAGAUAAAAAUGAUGAAACAAAAAAUGGACCUUUUUUAUCAGAAAAAGAAGAUAAUACUAGUAUAAAUAAAGUUGGUAUAGAAAAUGUUAUAAAAAAUCAAAAGGUUGUAAAACAUAUAAAAAAGAAAGAUAAAAUUUUUUAUGAAAUUGAUAAGAAAGAAAAUAAGGAUAAUAUGACUGGAAAAGUAAUAAAAACACAAGUUGUUAACAAAGGUGGAUUAGAUAGUAAUAUAAAUUUAAAUGAAACAAGCGAUAAUAAUAUAAACAGUAUAAAUAUAAAUUAUGAUAGUAAAAUAAACUCUGUUUAUUAUAAUAAUAAUAAUAAAAUGGAUACCUUCAAUAAUAUAAAAAAGGAAUUUAAAAAUAUUGAUUAUGAUUCUGAAAAUUAUGAAAAUAAUGAAAAUAAUGAAAAUAAUGAAAAUAAUGAAAAUUAUGAAAAUUAUGAAAAUUAUGAAAAUUAUGAAAAUACAAAUUACUUCGAUGAAAGUUCCAAUGAUUUGUUGGUGGAGAGAAACAUAAAAGAUAAAGAGAAACGUGGACAAGUAUUGCUAGAAGAAAAAAAAAAAAAAAUAGAUGAAAAAAUAGAUGAAAAUAUAGAUGAAAAAAUAGAUNNNNNNNNNNAUAGAUGAAAAAAUAGAUGAAAAUAUAGAUGAAAAAAUAGAUGAAAAAAUAGAUGAAAAAAUAGAUGAAAAAAUAGAUGAAAAUAUAGAUGAAAAUAUAAAUGAAAAUAUAGAUGAAAAAAUAGAUGAAAAAAUAGAUGAAAAAAUAGAUGAAAAUAUAAAUGAAAGUGAUACUUCAGUACAGUCUACUCAAAAUGAAUCAAUGGAAACUAUCUCUAAUGAAACAAAAAAGGUGCGAGUGUCGAAAAAAAAACAAAGUAGAGGAGAAAAAACAUAUAAAUCG